GUUUUUGAAGUGAAAAAAGUGAGUGAAGGGCUGCAAAUGGCAAAAGACCCUUCUUUUUUAUGGGUGAGUUGUAUUUAAUUACAUAUAUAUAUAUGUAUAUAUAUAUACUGCAUCUCUAUUAUCUAUUCAACUGUUGAUAUGCACUUAGGAGGCUUCCAUAUCUUGACAAUUAGAAAUAAUGUUGCUAUUAAUAGCAGGGUGUAUGUAUCUUCUUGAAUUAAU
Molecule: non-coding RNA, 222 nt
Organism: Vicugna pacos (alpaca)
Lineage: Eukaryota; Metazoa; Chordata; Mammalia; Artiodactyla; Camelidae
Source: RefSeq, a predicted model, not a curated record